This is a small RNA of Buttiauxella agrestis ATCC 33320, 109 nucleotides long. It matches the Rfam family "ArcZ RNA". From Rfam's summary of the family: This RNA was discovered in E. coli during a large scale screen. SraH expression is highly abundant in stationary phase, but low levels could be detected in exponentially growing cells as well. ArcZ RNA function as an activator of the alternative sigma factor RpoS as a response of stress. Lineage: Bacteria; Pseudomonadati; Pseudomonadota; Gammaproteobacteria; Enterobacterales; Enterobacteriaceae. The record is from Rfam.
CAGCACACGAGAUUAUCGGCUGCGCCAUUUGGAUAAAGACUUAUAACUCAACGGCGCAGCCUACUUUUUCCCUGGUGUUGGCGCAGAAUUCGCGCACCCCGGUUUAUCC